Molecule: long non-coding RNA, 451 nt
Organism: Actinia tenebrosa (Australian red waratah sea anemone)
Lineage: Eukaryota; Metazoa; Cnidaria; Anthozoa; Actiniaria; Actiniidae
Source: RefSeq, a predicted model, not a curated record
GACUUUACGGGCUGCGUAUUAAGGCGCUAAUGGCAGACGUGCAGCUUACAAUCAUGGGUGUGAAAUAAAUUAUCCGUGCGUGGUAUCGAAAAGUAAGAAUGACGCAAGAAACGCAGCAGAGGGACAUUCUAGUCCACCAAGAACCAAGAGCAUUUGAGGACGACCUUCAACAUUUGGAUAAUCAACCUCUAGCCUUACACUUAUUUAGAGGUUUGACAAAUGAAAAGUUGGAUGAAAAACUAAGAAUGAUACGCAGCCAAAGGAGUCUUCUUCAAUCUCGAAUCAUUCGACUUUUGGAUGAACAGGCGAUGAUAAACAGACGAAGAGCAAGGUUAUUGAAGCUUAAAGGAAACAUUGAUGAAAAUAUGUGAACAGAUGCAACGAAACUAUUUCAGUACGGUAGUCAGAAAUCAAUGCAGCGAAACAUCAAAUAUUAAAACUUUGGAAGGCA